Long non-coding RNA from Calidris pugnax (ruff), 1191 nucleotides. RefSeq lists it as uncharacterized. The record is from RefSeq and is a predicted model, not a curated record. The transcript is spliced from 4 exons. Lineage: Eukaryota; Metazoa; Chordata; Aves; Charadriiformes; Scolopacidae.
UCAAGACUUAGGCAGAGGACGUUUGGCUGAAGAACGGCUCGCAGGCAUGGACUGGCAGAAGUAAUGUUUGUAACGCGAGGAAUCUAUCCAGAAUGCCACACUGCCAUGAGGGGAGCAUGAGCUCAGCAAGCAGCUUUCUCCUGCACUGUAUAUCACCGACCUGUGGGACCAACCUUUGGCAAGACGCAGUGCUCUGAAUGCCUCUGCUCAGGUAUGGUGAGCCUUGCCGUGAUGACCUGUGCUUCUUGGUGUAUUUUAUAAAGACUGAGGAAUGAAGCGCUACUGCAUUUGGAGGAAAUGACGCAGCAGCCACUAUUCAUGUGGGGAAACCGAAAAAAGGAAAGCUGAAGAGAGUUGUGGGUGAUACAAGAGGUGCUGCCCUGCUCUCUGGAAAGGAAUUACCAUUGCAAACAACCUCCUCUCCUGCAGAAGAGACAGAUUUGAUUAGAGAUAGAAUUUUACACAAGGAGACCGGGAUGAAGCCUGGAGAAAAGGAGUAUGCCCCAGGAGUUUAUGCUGCCACACUCAAGGUUCUGACCACAUUUGUAGGGUUCUGGGUGAAGACCUGCCCUAAAAGUGCACCCUCUUUCCUAUGCCAGAGGUAAAACUCUGGCCAGCUGGGAGGAUUGUCUCAAGGAACUUAAAGCUGGCUUUUGGGCUCUCUGAAGACCUGCCGAUAGAAUUUUCUGCACCUGCACAAGGACUGGCAGGAAGAGACAUGCAAGGUGCCCAGCACCAGCUCUUUGGGGUCCCAUCCACUCCUGCUGGCUGGAAGCCGAGAAGCUGGGACUUGCAAGGUGCACCGAGACCUCGGGGGGACAGAGCCCCAUGUUCCCUGCAAGCAGAACAUCAGCCUGCAAAGUCUCACUGGUCAGCAAAAGGAACUAUUUCUUGUCCACGAGGGCAAUGCAAACCUCAUUUCACACAGCCCCCACCUCUGGUAAACACUUUCCCAGAGAACUCACAGCCUGUGCCACAUGGAAAAGGUGGGAAAAAGAGAUGGCGGGGCAAUGACAAAGAGAAAGGAAGGAGUCACUCAUUUGUAGCCAUGUAAUUAUUAUUUAAAUAAAUAGAGCUUUUGAAAAUGUGAUUAAGCAAACGAGGGAAUAAAGUAAAAAUCUGAAUUGCUAAUUAAAAAAAAAAACCCAACAUGCUUGUAAUGAUAUCAUGUUGAGGGAUAAACUAAUUCAG